UACGAAGGGGGCUAGCGUCGCUCGGAAUCACUGGGCGUAAAGCGCACGUAGGCGGCUUUUUAAGUCAGGGGUGAAAUCCUGGAGCUCAACUCCAGAACUGCCUUUGAUACUGAGAAGCUUGAGUUCGGGAGAGGUGAGUGGAACUGCGAGUGUAGAGGUGAAAUUCGUAGAUAUUCGCAAGAACACCAGUGGCGAAGGCGGCUCACUGGCCCGAUACUGACGCUGAGGUGCGAAAGCGUGGGGAGCAAACAGG
Molecule: ribosomal RNA, 253 nt
Filed under: uncultured bacterium
Lineage: Bacteria
Description: partial 16S ribosomal RNA
Rfam family: Bacterial small subunit ribosomal RNA
Source: RNAcentral